This is a long non-coding RNA of Scophthalmus maximus (turbot), 3673 nucleotides long. NCBI's taxonomy places the organism in Eukaryota, Metazoa, Chordata, Actinopteri, Pleuronectiformes, Scophthalmidae. The record is from Ensembl.
CUAAUCUUCCUUUCACUCUCUAAUUUUGCAUAUUGUUUUGCGGGUUCUGAGGAGGUUAUAGGGGGAAAUGGAUACUGGUUUUGAUAUUCAUGUAAAUUAUAAUGCAGUAAUAUGUGGUGUCUUUGUAGAAAAAGAGAUAGCCAGUUUGCACCUCAACGUCCUUCGACAAGGUUGACUUGGGUUCAACAAACAAAACAACUUCUGUCAUGAAAGCAGUAGAAACAGGUCUGGGCGUGACCUGAUUGGGGUGGGAUAAAUAGAUGAACUGAACUGAACAGCGAACACCAAUCCAUCAAAGAUGAAGACUGCAGUGGCUCUGCUGACUUCAUGCCACCUCUACCUGGGUGUGGCUCAGGUCUUCAGGUCUCCAGCCUCAUCCGAGCUUCUCCCUGUGGCCAGAAACGAAGACUUCUGGAGGCCAAAAUAAAAAAUGCAGAAAAACAGUUAGCGGAGCUGAAGCAAGCGACCACCGGUAUCUUCACUGCUCCAGUCAAAGGAGCUUAUUACUUCAGCUUCUCUGGUCAUAAUUUAUCAUCUAGACCAAUGGGGCUGCGACUAAUGAAGAACGGAGAACAAAUGGUCACUGUGUUCGGCAUGACUCUCAAUCUUAAUGUGGGAGACCAGGUGUACAUGAGACUCCAGGCAAACACCUGGAUUUAUGACAAUGUUUUUGAACAGUGGAGGUGUGUUGCACUGAAGAGUAACUUCAACCAGACUUUGGCUGCAAAGAGAAAAGCUUGGUGGGAAGAGCUGAUGCAGACAAACAGAAACAAUCCAAGGAUGAAGACCUCACUGGCUGUGUUGGGUUUAUCCCUCUUCCACCUGUGUGUGGCUGAGCUCCUGCCACAGCAACAAGACGGAGACAUGAACAGCAUGGAGAGUCCCGGCAUCGAACAAGCUGGUCCCAUAGCCGGUGACGUAACAGAGAGCCCACGAUACAGUAGCCAUCUUGAUGUCAGCAUAAGAGAGGCGGAACAGCAAAACACCGAGAGACAGCUCGAGGAGCUGAGGAGAGAGGACCAAGGCAACCGGGAGGCAUUUGGCGAAUCCUUCGACAAUGUUGGAAACACUGGACCCUACAACACUGAGAUCACACUGCCCCACAGGAGCGACGGCGAUAACACAGGCGCAUACAGCCCAUCAGCAGGUAUCUUCACUGCUCCGGUCAAAGGAGUUUACCACUUCAGCUUCUCUGGUCAGACUGUAUCAACUAAACCGAUGGGCCUGCGACUAAUGAAGACUAUCAACCAUCCGGAUGGACGCCGCUUUGAGACGGCAAACAAUGUCAUGACCCUACCUCUCAAUGAGGGAGACCAGGUGUACAUGAGACUCCGGCGAAGAAUCCAUUUCAGAAUCAGAAUCAGAAUCAGAAUCAGAAUCAGCAUCCACUUACAUGUGCAUAUUUCACAUUGAACAUAUGGAGUUGUGGAUGAAUACAAUGUACAGUGUUUACCUUCACUUAAUUUUUGUUUUGUGUAAAACUGCAGUUAUGUAUUUUGGGAUUAGUAGGUGCAGUGGAUGUUCAGUGUUGCAGUUUAUUGCACAGAGAUUGUUCUGCCACCGAUCGACUGUUUGAACUGUUCUCAAGAGCGACGGCAUGUGGAAAGAAGCUGUUCUUGUAUCUGGCUGUUUUGGCAUUCAGUGAUUUGUAGCACCUGAAAGAAGGGAGUGGUUAGAAAAGGUUGUCUCCAGGGUGUGAUGGGUCUGCAGUGAUUAAGUUAAGAGUUAAUAGGAAUCCUCAUCAUUAUUGUGUGAAUUGAAAAUUGUAUAUAACAAUUGAUAUUAUGUUUGCCUUUAUAAGACAUUUUUUAUGAAUAAAGCUAUGUAAUUUGCUUUAACUUUUCAUUAUAACUGCAAAUCAGAUAAAAAACGUUUCAUUUUUAUUGAACUUUUUGAGUCUCAACAUAUAUAUAUAUAUAUAUAUAUAUAUAUAUAUAUAUAUAUAUAUAUAUAUAUAUAUAUAUAUAUAUAUUGCCAUUUGGAAAUUACAGUAAAUCUCAUUAAUUCAUUCAAGUCAAAUUCUUUGUUGUUUUUUUGUCACAGUGCGGUUUUGUCACUGUGCUCCUGAAAUGUUCCUUAACUGGUCCUGCCAGCCCCCUGGUAAUAUUUCUGGGAAAAGUCCGAGUGAGCCCAAGUGUGAAAACAGUGGGUAAAUCUUCAGAUAAAUUAACAGCGAACGAGUGGCCGUGUUGAUGACAUUACUUUCCAAAAGCAAAUUUAUUGUAAUGUCCUGCCUCUGCACGCUCUACCCAGAGGCCAGAGAAUGUUCCAGAAACGUUCCUGCUUUUGUGAACACGUCUGACUCUGACAAUCUCCUGCUGUGUCCUUCAUAUGUGAAAUGCAACGUCCUGUCUUAAAACAGCUUUAGUGUGAGCGUCACAUGAUUCUUCCGCAUAUGAAAAGGUAAAACAUUUUUCUUGUCAUAUAGAAAGCACAAUGAGCUAUGAACUACAUGUUGUUUUUGGAUUCGUAGCUUAGAUAACUAUAUGCACUGACACCAUCUACUCGUGAUUGAAAUAAAGUGUCCGUUAAUAGACUCACUGUCUUCACAUUGGACUCAAAGUGAAAGCAGGGCCUUAGGGUUAAAUUUGCAAUGUGUGUGGUUAAGAGGGACACGGGAGGCAGAAGCUCAUUGGCCAGUCUUAGUAUGGCCGACUGAACUUGGCCACAGACACAAAAAUAUAAAAAAAAAGUCCUCUCUGUUCUCUACUGUCGGCUCGAAAAACAUGUGUCCACACAACUGGACGGAGAAGUGUCUUAUUCAGCCAAGUCACGAUGACUGUGACCACUUACUAUAUAAUACUUACUAUAUGAAACAUUCACAUUUAAAACCUGUAAAUAAGAUUCAAAUAUCUAUUACCACGAUAUCUAAAUCCCAUAGGUUGUGGUGUUAGGACCUGCAAGUUAAUAUUCUCAUUGUUUUGGUUUUUUUUAAUUCAUUGAUUUGUGUAUACAGUGUCCAAAAGCAUUGAGAAAUAUGCAUUCCAAUUUCCCAGAGCCCUUGGCGAUGUUUUGAAAUGAGCUGUUUUUGUGGGACCGACUGUUUCAAACCCAAAGAUUUUCAAUUUGUAUUGAUAUAUAUAAAACAGAGGAAAGCAGCAAAUCCUCACAUCAGCAAAGCUGGAACUAGAGGAUAUGGAAAGCUUACAGGUCAAAUUAUCACAUAUUUUGGCUGCAUCAUCAUAAAUAUUAAUCAUAUAAUAAACCUAUGUAAUCAAAUGUGCAUGUAAUUAAGGGAGAUUUUUUAAGUUUUAAACUAUUUGUGUGACUGACUGGACAUAUCUGAUAUUAUUCUAAACCUCUUGUCCCGCUCCAUAGUUACCUGAACAGCCUGCUCCCCCCAACAUAAAAAACAACAUCAUUGUAAGUGAUUAUAAUAGAUAAAGUUGAAUUGCAAAAGAAAGGUAUUUUUCUAAAACUGGUCACAUUUUCACUAUAGGUAGCUUGUAAUGUGGCCAACACCUACACAACGUUUGGCCUUGGAUUUCGAGUUGUAACUGACACAUCAUUAUUAUCUAAAGUUAAAUGUACGAACUGUUCAAUUACCAGCAGAGUCAAUGACAGCACGCGGUGUUACGUAAAAUGCUUUUUUUUGUAUUACAAGUCUUUCAAACUGACAGGUUGAUGGCAGAGGAUUUGUCCAAAGGGAGAAUUACAAUUACAGUAAAGUCAA